UGUUUCGGCUAGGGGGCCAUCCCGGCUUACCAACCCGAUGCAAACUGCGAAUACCGGAGAAUGUUAUCACGGGAGACACACGGCGGGUGCUAACGUCCGUCGUGAAGAGGGAAACAACCCAGACCGCCAGCUAAGGUCCCAAAGUCAUGGUUAAGUGGGAAACGAUGUGGGAAGGCCCAGACAGCCAGGAUGUUGGCUUAGAAGCAGCCAUCAUUUAAAGAAAGCGUAAUAGCUCACUGGUCGAGUCGGCCUGCGCGGAAGAUGUAACGGGGCUAAACCAUGCACCGAAGCUGCGGCAGCGACACUGUGUGUUGUUGGGUAGGGGAGCGUUCUGUAAGCCUG
Molecule: ribosomal RNA, 342 nt
Filed under: Salmonella enterica
Lineage: Bacteria; Pseudomonadati; Pseudomonadota; Gammaproteobacteria; Enterobacterales; Enterobacteriaceae
Also listed under: 6 other names
Description: bacterial LSU rRNA
Rfam family: Bacterial large subunit ribosomal RNA
Source: RNAcentral